AUGUCCCCCAUUAUGUUAGCUAGUAUACCUGCACACACACACACACACACACACACACACACACACACACACACACACACACACACACACACACACACACACACACACACACACACACACACACACACAUCCUAUUUCUCUGUAUUAUAUUAUCUCUACCUAAAUGUGUUAUUCCAAAAACACUCUCCUCCCUACUCUCCCUCCUACUCUCCCUCCUACUCUCUCUCCUACUCUCCCUCCUACUCUCUCUCCUACUCUCUCUCCUACUCUCCCUCCUACUCUCCUCCCUACUCUCCUCCCUACUCUCCCUCCUACUCUCCUCCCACUCUCCCUCCUACUCUCCGUCCUACUCUCCCUCCUACUCUCUCUCCUACUCUCCCUCCUACUCUCUCUUCUACUCUCCCUCCCACUCUCCCUCAUACUCUCCCUCCCACUCUCCCUCCCACUCUGCCUCCUACUCUCCCUCCCACUCUCCCUCCCACUCUGCCUCCUACUCUCCUCCCACUCUCCCUCCCACUCUGCCUCCUACUCUCCCUCAUACUCUCCCUCCCACUCUCCCUCCCACUCUGCCUCCUACUCUCCCUCCCACUCUCCCUCCCACUCUGCCUCCCACUCUCCCUCCCACUCUGCCUCCCACUCUCCCUCCUACUCUCCCUCCCACUCUCCCUCCCACUCUGCCUCCUACUCUCCCUCAUACUCUCCCUCCCACUCUCCCUCCCACUCUCCCUCAUACUCUCCCUCCCACUCUCCCUCCCACUCUCCCUCCCACUCUGCCUCCUACUCUCCCUCAUACUCUCCCUCCCACUCUCUCUCCCACUCUGCCUCAUACUCUCCCUCCCACUCUCCCUCCCACUCUGCCUCCUACUCUCCCUCAUACUCUCCCUCCCACUCUCCCUCCCACUCUGCCUCCUACUCUCCCUCAUACUCUCCCUCCCACUCUCCCUCCCACUCUGCCUCCUACUCUCCCUCCCACUCUCCCUCCCACUCUGCCUCCUACUCUCUCUCCUACUCUCCUUCCUACUCUCCCUCCCACUCUCCCUCCCACUCUCCCUCAUACUCUCCCUCCUGCUCUGA
Molecule: long non-coding RNA, 1074 nt
Filed under: Salmo trutta (river trout)
Lineage: Eukaryota; Metazoa; Chordata; Actinopteri; Salmoniformes; Salmonidae
Description: lncRNA (ENSSTUG00000025510.1)
Source: RNAcentral